This is a long non-coding RNA of Hirundo rustica (Barn swallow), 901 nucleotides long. RefSeq lists it as uncharacterized. The transcript has 3 exons. NCBI's taxonomy places the organism in Eukaryota, Metazoa, Chordata, Aves, Passeriformes, Hirundinidae. The record is from RefSeq and is a predicted model, not a curated record.
CACAAAAGCCAGCACCUCGAAACUUGAACAGAAUGCACUUCCAUAUUCUGCAGAAUGGGAAAUAUGCUGUGAUGUUUGUUUUGGUCUGUUUGAACAGUGGGAUCCCCUUUUUUCUGAAGGACAUUUAUGUUGAAGAGUGAGGGAGCUGGCAUGCACAAGCAGCUGGGAGAGGUGACCCCCAUCCGACCAAAGGGAUGUCCAGCCCAUAUGGUGUCAUGCUCAGCAAUCAAACCUGGAGUAAGAGGGAAGAAAGGGGAACAUUCAGACUCCAGUGUCUGUCUUUCCAGGUUUUCUCACUUCUACUCUUCCAAUUCCCACUCCUAUCACAAUGUGGGAGGAGUGAGCAAGCAAUAUGUAGGGCUCAGCUUCCAGCCGUGCUUAAAGCACAACACCCAGUGAAAAAAUUAGGGAGAAUUACGCACUAAAGAGAAAAGCAGAGAUGUUUUCUUUUGGACAAAAUAUCUACAGAGAAAUUAUAAUAUCUGAAGAGACAUUUGACUUUGCCCAGAGCACACUCUCUGCAUGGCCCAGGAUUGCCUUUUACCAAUCCAUUCAUGAUCCAUAAACUGAUUGUAUUUAUCCUUGGGCUUGGCUGUAAGAUUGUGGCUCUAUCUUGUGAAGAUGCCAUCUGCUUUUUGCUGGCACUGGAGUCAGUGGUCUGGCACCCUCACAUAGAUGCUGUUUUCAGAAAAGAGCAGAGUUCUCAGUCCCAGAGCACAAAGCUUGGGACAGACAGGGAUCUGUCUGCCUAGGCAUGUAUCUGCCCUGUCUCCAGGUGUCUGGUUUACCUGUUGUCUCACAUAAUAUUGAGGGUUUCUCUUCUGGCACACCAUCUGAUUCAGUAACAGUUCUGCAGCAUUUCUUUUUCACAACUGUCUUUCAAGAGCCAGAAAAGGCACUU